AUGAUGUCCCUACCAGCUCUGACAUACCACGAUUCUUGUCUGUGUCUGUAGUGUUUUAAAGUUAGCUUAGGUACUUAAUAGCUAUUUCUCAAGUUCUUAAGCUCCAAGUAAGAGACAUAGUAUUAUCAUGAAGUGGAUAGAACAAAGAGAUAAAGGGUAAAUGCUGGUAAAGGAUAGAUAUAAUAGUAUGUAUCAUAUAACAAGUAACUAAAUUGGCCAUCACAGCUACUGAAAUCCAUUCAAUGUGUAAUAAUAGCUGAGCACUUGACUGUAUGAAGCUCAUGUAAGUCUACUAUUUUUUUUCCAAACACCAGCUCAAUUAAAAGAUUUGAAGGAUGCAGAAUAUCUAGGUGGGACAUAGAUCAUCACAGAAAAUAGGAGGGAUGUAGGUAAUACUGCAAUUAGGAAAAAACAGAUCUGACAGAAUUUCUCAAAUCCUUUUUCUUUCUUUCCUCCUAAACACUAAAAUGGAAGGAAGAUUGAGGAAGCUGUGUUUCUUUAAAGUCUGAAAUUUAAAAAAAUCCAAACUUGGAUUUCUUUUGAUUGGAGAAACAAUACACUGUAGAUAAUGCUGAGGUUCUCCCUGCAAGAAAACAGCAAUUGUGUGUUGUAUUUUAUUAUAAUAGGUUUCCCAGCUAAAUGUGCAAAUCUAAUAAUACUAUAAUACAGUGCUACAAUGGGCUUCAUGAAUUGGAAAUGGAUAGAAUUUAAAUAUUUUUGGCACCUGCCACACAGUGCUCCAAUAAUAAGAUCUAUAAUUUCCUGAAUAAAGCUUGUACAACUUUAGUGAAUUUAGCUCCAUAGAAGGGUGAAAGACUGUUUGCAGUGUUCAUGCUAAUUCAGUAUUUAAUAUAUUGACUUUCUUUCUUUCUUUCUUUCUUUCUUUCUUUCUUUCUUUCUUUCUUUCUUUCUUUCUUUCUUUCUUUCUUUCUUUCUUUCUUUCUUUCUUUCUUUCUUUCUUUCUUUCUUUCUUUCUUUCUUUCUUUCUUUCUUUCUUUCUUUCUUUCUUUCUUUCUCUCUCUCUCUCUCUCUCUCUCUCUCUCUCUCUCUCUUUCUUUCUUUCUUUCUUUCUUUCUUUCUUUCUUUCUUUCUUUCUUUCUUUCUUUCUUCUUUCUUUCUUUCUUUCUUUCUUUCUUUCCCUCUUUCUUUUCCUCUUUCUUUCUUUCUUUCCCUCUUUCUUUCCCUCUUUCCCUCUUUCUUUCCCUCUUUCUUUCCCUCUUUCCCUCUCUCUCUCUCUCUCUCUCUCUCUCUCUCUCUCUCUCUCUCUCUCUCUUUUUCCCUUUCUCCCUUUCUCUCUCCCUUCCUUCCUUCCUUCCUUCCUUCCUUCCUUCCUUCCUUCCUUCCUUCCUUCCUUCCUUCCUUCCUUCCUUCCUUCCUUCCUUCCUUCCUUCCUUCCUUCCUUCCUUCCUUCCUUCCUCCCUUCCUCCCUCCCUCCCUCCCUCCCUUCCUCCCUCCCUCCCUCCCUUCCUUCUUCUUUCUUUUGCCAUUUAAAAGCAUUUAAAACAGGAAGACAAUUUUAUUUAUUUAUUUAUUUGGGAGAGAAUUCUGAAUAUGUAAUCGGAUAUAUAGGACCUGAGAAUGAUGAAUCAUCCUGGUCUUAUUUAAGUCUAUAUCAAAAGCACUGA
RNAcentral lists this long non-coding RNA (1625 nucleotides) under Monodelphis domestica (gray short-tailed opossum). Its description in RNAcentral is "lncRNA (ENSMODG00000039604.1)". Lineage: Eukaryota; Metazoa; Chordata; Mammalia; Didelphimorphia; Didelphidae. The record is from RNAcentral.